GGAGGWWWMAAGCGUUAAUCGGAAUUACUGGGCGUAAAGCGCACSCAGGUGGCUGAGUCAGUCGAUUGUGAAAGCCCUGGGCUUAACCUGGGAAUUGCAGUCGAUACUACUCAGCUAGAGUAUGGGAGAGGGCAGUGGAAUUCCCGGUGUAGCGGUGAAAUGCGUAGAUAUCGGGAGGAACAUCAGUGGCGAAGGCGGCUGCCUGGCCCAAUACUGACACUCAGGUGCGACAGCGUGGGGAGCAAGCAGGAUUAGAUACCCUGGUAGUCCACGCCGUAAACGAUGAGAACUAGAUGUUGGGGGGGAUUAGCCCCUCGGUGUCGUAGCUAACGCGCUAAGUUCUCCGCCUGGGGAGUACGGCCGCAAGGUUG
RNAcentral lists this ribosomal RNA (371 nucleotides) under uncultured bacterium. RNAcentral describes it as "bacterial SSU rRNA". It matches the Rfam family "Bacterial small subunit ribosomal RNA", at positions 527 to 896 of the family's 1533-position model. The record is from RNAcentral.